Molecule: long non-coding RNA, 846 nt
Organism: Microtus oregoni (creeping vole)
Lineage: Eukaryota; Metazoa; Chordata; Mammalia; Rodentia; Cricetidae
Exons: 3
Source: RefSeq, a predicted model, not a curated record
CACUGGAGUCAGGAGCUCCAGGCAGGUGGAAACCUGGCAGCCUGAUACCUCCCUCAGCUGCAACAUUCACUUUCUGUCUGGAGCUUCCAAGAGCCUUAGAGGAGAAGACUUGAAGAAACCUGUCUGGUGAUGCUACUUCCAGGAGUUCCCACCCCUACAAAGCACACCUGACAGAGGACGAAGAAAGUGGAUACAUCCUGAGGUUGCUUCUGUUAGGGGAUUUGGUCAUGGAGAUGAGAAGUAAGCCAUGCACAGUCCACAGAGAUGUCUCGGGAAGAUGCUGGGCUUGGGCAUGGUCACGUCUGGAAGAUCAUGGAGUACAGAAAGGCAUACCCUUGGGAGAAGGCAGGGAAGGGAUGUCAAGAAACAAGUCCACUGUGCAAAGCUAUUGUCUCUUCUGCCCCCACCACAAAACUUGCCAAAGUCUACCUUGUGUACAGAUGCCCCAGGAGUAGAUUUUCCUAUCAUAGAAAUGAGAACUUCCGCCAGAGUUAGCAAAAGACUUUAAAGGAAGCUGCGGAGACAGUCCAGAGUGGCCUCACCUCAGAACAGGAACCAUCUAAAAGGGGUAGCAGCUUCAAAAGCCACCAUGCCACAAUGACUACUGGAAGCAACAAAGGAGACUUAACUACAAAGCCCUGGGAGAAACAAGUCCCUCCUCCUGCUCCCAGCACCAGACUCCAGAGUCUUCCCUGUGUCGCCUCUAAACUCCAGUGACCUCCCUUGCUCUCUCCAAAUUACUGACACCCUUCCUUCAUGAACGCGUACGUUUUCACAGCUGCUCCCAUGUCUAACCACCCUCCGAAUGCCAUUAGCACCACAGAUGGACAAGGAAAUGGCUGUGAA